CACUUGUCAGGCGGGUAUUUUGUUGUGUGUCUCAUCCGAGUGUGAAGAUAUAAUCUGCGGUACGAACCAGCAGAAGUUCUUCGGAAGACCCAGCACGUGCAAGGUGAAGUGUCCAGGUCCUUUACAGGUUAACACUACAUGUGCCGAGGAUGACAAAAAGUAUGAACGGGUCUGUUACUGUAAGGAUGGACUGGUCGAAAAACAGAAUUAUGAGUGUAUACCAGAAGGAUCAUGUCCGUGUUACACCUGUGAACAGUGGUUCGAACAUGGGACUGCAAAAAUUGACGACUGCAUUAAAAAAGAAUGUAAAAAUGGUUCCUGGAUAAGUGAAGAAGAUGAAGAUUGUAAAA
Molecule: long non-coding RNA, 350 nt
Organism: Gigantopelta aegis
Lineage: Eukaryota; Metazoa; Mollusca; Gastropoda; Neomphalida; Peltospiridae
Exons: 3
Source: RefSeq, a predicted model, not a curated record